UUUUAAAAAGGCAGCUAUAUUAUUCACCCAUAUAGUUAUUAACAGAGACUUAACAAAAGGGGAAUAAACCCCAGGUGAUCUCAUGUCUAAUACUCCCAGUAACAACUAAUAAUAAUAAGCACUAGCACCUCCAGCUCCAGGUCCUAUGUGCUAGUGCAGAUUGCACAUCCAAUUACACAAAUUAUUGCUGCAAUGGGGAUUACUGGAGUGUUCUAACUUUCUUUGGCGCCUUCAUCAGGUGCAGCAGCGGCAACAGCAUCCUCCUUUUCUUUUACUUCCUCCGAGCUUACCUCCCUCGGCUUCUCUUCGGUUGCUGGCGCCUUCUCUGGCUCAGCGGCAGCGGCGGUUUCAGUUGUUUCUGGUGAAGUGCUUGGGGCACCAUCUUCAACAGGGACGGUCUUCUUGACGGUACCGACCUUCACGUACUUGCCCAUAAACUUGUACUCCCAGUCCUGCAAUGCGUCGAGUUCAAAUGGGCCAAGACCAGAGAUGUCACCGGUCAAAUCCUGGGGCUCGAAGGACAUCUUAGCGAGUGCUCUGCUGGCAUCUUUGCCAGCGAAUAGCGCAUAAGGUCCACCAGGUCCAUAGAACAUCCUGCUCUGCGUGACGUCAUAGAUCUGGCCCUUGAUGGCCAUGAGGAGGGGCUUCUUGGGAUCGGACCCGUCGUACUGGCGGAGCUCCUCCUCG
This 687-nucleotide small RNA is filed under the name Oryza sativa Japonica Group (Japanese rice). Its description in RNAcentral is "sRNA Os10g0502566". The record is from RNAcentral. Lineage: Eukaryota; Viridiplantae; Streptophyta; Magnoliopsida; Poales; Poaceae.